RNAcentral lists this long non-coding RNA (287 nucleotides) under Helianthus annuus (common sunflower). Its description in RNAcentral is "hypothetical non coding rna". The record is from RNAcentral. Lineage: Eukaryota; Viridiplantae; Streptophyta; Magnoliopsida; Asterales; Asteraceae.
GGGUUCAGGCCGAGAUUCCGGCAACACAGUGAAGAAACUUAUUGAGAUAGGGUAAAGUUCAUCGAUGAUGGUUGUAGGGGUAAACGUCAAGAACAAUCCAACGAUUGAGACCAAGCGUUUGUUUAAAUGUCUCAAUGAAAGUUUGGAUUGAACAUCAUCAAAAUGGUAUGUUGCAUUCUUGAAUACUGCCUCACGUAUAUGUAGAAAAAAAUAGUAUUUUGUUCUAAAUGGUUAAUUUCCAUGAACAUCCUGUUUAAUUUGAAUGUUUUUAAUUGACUGCUUUAAAC